GUGUCAGCAGCCGCGGUAAUACGAAGGUGGCAAGCGUUGUCCGGAUUUACUGGGCGUAAAGCGUAUGCAGGCGGAUUGUUAAGUAGGAAGUGAAAGGUUGGAGCUCAACUCUAACACUGCUCCCUAUACUGGCAGUCUUGAGUGGCGGAGAGGAAGACGGAACGACACGUGUAGCGGUGAAAUGCGUUGAUAUGUGUCGGAACACCAAUGGCGAAAGCAGUCUUCUGGACGCAAACUGACGCUGAGAUACGAAAGCCAAGGUAGCAAACAAGAUUAGAUACCCUGGUAGUCUUGGCCAUAAACGAUGAUGACUAGUUGUUGGAGGAGUUAAAUCCUUUAGUAACGCAGCUAACGCGUGAAGUCAUCCGCCUGGGGAGUACGGUCGCAAGAUUAAAACUCAAAGGAAUUGACGG
This 413-nucleotide ribosomal RNA is filed under the name uncultured bacterium. RNAcentral describes it as "bacterial SSU rRNA". It matches the Rfam family "Bacterial small subunit ribosomal RNA", at positions 505 to 916 of the family's 1533-position model. The record is from RNAcentral.